This 399-nucleotide ribosomal RNA is filed under the name Triticum aestivum (bread wheat). RNAcentral describes it as "partial small subunit ribosomal RNA". Lineage: Eukaryota; Viridiplantae; Streptophyta; Magnoliopsida; Poales; Poaceae. The record is from RNAcentral.
UCUCACUCCCCUUUUCCUUUUCACUACACUCGUCGUCCUCGUACGGUGGAUGAUCCUACUGAUGUGCCCUCUACUUCCGGUGCACCACCUCUCACCCCUCCACCGGUCCAUAACCUUCGCGUUCGGCCUUGUCCCCCACCCGAUCGCUAUUCUCCUGACCACUAUGGUCUCUCUGCCAUUACUGAGCCCACCACCUAUCAGGCUGCCAUGACUCAGCCUGAAUGGCAGCUUGCGAUGGCCGAGGAGCUUGCGGCGCUUGAGCGCAAUGGCACGUGGGAUCUGGUUUCUCCUCCUUCUGGUGUUCGUCCCAUCAUGUGCAAGUGGGUCUAUAAGAUUAAGACUCGCUCUGAUGGUUCUCUUGAACGUUAUAAAGCUCGUCUUGUGGCUCGUGGCUUUUAG